This is a long non-coding RNA of Phocoena sinus (vaquita), 1955 nucleotides long. NCBI's taxonomy places the organism in Eukaryota, Metazoa, Chordata, Mammalia, Artiodactyla, Phocoenidae. The record is from Ensembl.
AUAGCAUUGGUUCUAUAUUAUUAUUAUAAGAAAUUGGAAUUUAGUGUCUACUCUGCAAGGAUGGCUUAUUUGCAUAUACCUUUUAUUGCAUGUUCCUCACUAGGCAUUUUAUUCAUGUAUUGACAUGAUUUGGUAGUAGCUGAGAACCUGAAACUUGGAUUAUAUAUUUGUAUCUUUUUAUUUUUUUAAGCCAAGCAAUGCAGCUUUGGUCAGAUCUAAAUUGUGUGAAGAUAGGCUUUAAAAGCCUAUGGUAUUGUGUUUGUAACACUGAUAUUUAAUGGAAAAUAGUUUAGGAAAUGGAGUCUUCUGCAGGGGUUUUAUAUACUUCUCAUGUUGAAAGAGAUUUUCCAUCACUUGAUGUGAAUUAGGCACUUUUAGAAAACUCCUGAAAAAGAAUUACUUUUCUUGAUCUGCAGACCGGGUACAGUACAAUUACCAUUACCUUACAGUAACUUGAUUAGCCAUAUGUGUAUUUCAAGUCGUGUUUGUUUGCUCCUCCCCUGUGCCUUUCCAGUUCCGGCUCCAUUUUGAAGACCUGCAGAUCAUGAGAAAACAGGAAAGGAAGUGAUGUGGGGGUCAGUUUCCUGAACUGUGUAAUUUGCUGAGAAGAGCUUACAGCCAUUGCUUAUGACAAGGACAGAACCUCACUGCUCAGUUUCUUUCCUGUCUCUUCCUAACCUUAUAAACACCAGGGUUAGUGGAUGAUUAACUCAUAGCAAGCAGUGGCUCUCGUUUUUAUAGGACUAGGUCCUGGCUUCCAUAUCACUAGCUAUUGCCUUGUAUACUCUGCUCCAGCUACACUGUACCUGUGCUAGGCCCUAGCCACACCAUAUUCCUACACUACUUCCUGUCUGUAGCCAUGUGACCUCUGCCUGGAAGCCUUCUUUUUCCUUGAUACUUUCUCCCUGCCAAACUCAUUUCUCCUUAAGCCAUUCAUUGACCUCUCUCCGCUGCACCCUUGCCAAAACUUAAGAAGGGAUGAAUCCACCUUUUCUACUCCAUGGCCCAAUGUUCAUUCCUUGAUCAUGCCAUGUAUCAUAGCACACUUUAGGUAGACAUAGUUGAGGUUUGUCUCACCAGGCUGCAGGCACUUCAGGGGCAGGGACCUUGUCUUACAAAUUUUUAUUUCCACAGUGCAUGAAACAUAGUAGAAACUAAACUUUGGAAUUGUGGGGAUAAUUUGUAUCAAAUGUCUUUUUGAAUUAAGAGAUUUAGUUAUGUUUACUAAGAAUGUAAAGUUUGAAUUGGUUUACAUUUGGCAGUUGGAACAGUUUAUUGAUGUCAGUUUUAAAUGUAGAGGUAUAAUGUUAAAUUAUUUUAUAUUUUCUGGAAACUGAGUGAAAUGUUUGAUAAAAUGCUGCCAUUGUUCUCUGAUAAUUCCACUGUCCGGAAUUAUGUACUGUAACCGCCUGGAUGUAAAUGUGAGGAAUACAGCUCAUUGCUGUGUCAGUGGUGCCUGAGGGCAGCCACAGCCACCCGUGACCUCACUCCCAUUGCUCCUUGUGACACUCGUCUUUCUUCUCCCCUCUGAAGCCCAUGCUUAGGCCUACCUCAGCACCGCUUUCCUUGUCUUCCUUCUGCGUUCAGCUCAGGUGCCACCUCUUCCAAAAAACAUUCCUCAGCUCAUGAUGCAAACAAGUACAGACAGCCUCUAAAUCUUACCAGUUUUAUUUUCAGCCUGGGUUAUAAACCCAGACAAGUUAACUGACUUACUGGGUUGGGACUAGAACUGGGCUUUGUGACUCCUAAACCCGUGUUCUUAUACAAUGCUGCCUUCUGAAUUUUUGUGGCAUUCUUUAGCAUAUGCUUUCUUGUAGUCCCACUUUUUAUGUGCCUGUUAUAUUUCCCUAAUAAGAUUGUAAGCCCCUUAAGGGCAAGGACUUCAUUGCAUUUCUAGCACUGCCAUAGUGUUCUAUACUUAGUUAUGAACUAGAUAAAUAAAUGGUGGUGAAUAC